UAUGCUACAAAGUAACUUCUCGGCUACUCA
Molecule: non-coding RNA, 30 nt
Filed under: Mus musculus (house mouse)
Lineage: Eukaryota; Metazoa; Chordata; Mammalia; Rodentia; Muridae
Source: RNAcentral